This 180-nucleotide ribosomal RNA is filed under the name Bacillus australimaris. RNAcentral describes it as "partial 16S ribosomal RNA". It matches the Rfam family "Bacterial small subunit ribosomal RNA", at positions 607 to 786 of the family's 1533-position model. The record is from RNAcentral. Lineage: Bacteria; Bacillati; Bacillota; Bacilli; Caryophanales; Bacillaceae.
GCUCAACCGGGGAGGGUCAUUGGAAACUGGGAAACUUGAGUGCAGAAGAGGAGAGUGGAAUUCCACGUGUAGCGGUGAAAUGCGUAGAGAUGUGGAGGAACACCAGUGGCGAAGGCGACUCUCUGGUCUGUAACUGACGCUGAGGAGCGAAAGCGUGGGGAGCGAACAGGAUUAGAUACC